GGGUUGUGAGGUUAAGCGACUAAGCGUACACGGUGGAUGCCCUGGCAGUCAGAGGCGAUGAAGGGCGUGCUAAUCUGCGAUAAGCGCCGGUAAGGUGAUAUGAACCGUUAUAACCGGCGAUACCCGAAUGGGGAAACCCAGUGUGAUUCGUCACACUAUCAUUAACUGAAUCCAUAGGUUAAUGAGGCGAACCGGGGGAACUGAAACAUCUAAGUACCCCGAGGAAAAGAAAUCAACCGAGAUUCCCCCAGUAGCGGCGAGCGAACGGGGAGGAGCCCAGAGCCUGAAUCAGCAUGUGUGUUAGUGGAAGCGUCUGGAAAGGCGCGCGAUACAGGGUGACAGCCCCGUACACAAAAGCGCAUGUGCUGUGAGCUCGAUGAGUAGGGCGGGACACGUGGUAUCCUGUCUGAAUAUGGGGGGACCAUCCUCCAAGGCUAAAUACUCCUGACUGACCGAUAGUGAACCAGUACCGUGAGGGAAAGGCGAAAAGAACCCCGGCGAGGGGAGUGAAAAAGAACCUGAAACCGUGUACGUACAAGCAGUGGGAGCACAGGUUUACCUGUGUGACUGCGUACCUUUUGUAUAAUGGGUCAGCGACUUAUAUUCUGUAGCAAGGUUAACCGUAUAGGGGAGCCGGAGGGAAACCGAGUCUUAACCGGGCGUUAAGUUGCAGGGUAUAGACCCGAAACCCGGUGAUCUAGCCAUGGGCAGGUUGAAGGUUGGGUAACACUAACUGGAGGACCGAACCGACUAAUGUUGAAAAAUUAGCGGAUGACCUGUGGCUGGGGGUGAAAGGCCAAUCAAACCGGGAGAUAGCUGGUUCUCCCCGAAAGCUAUUUAGGUAGCGCCUCGUGAAUUCAUCUCCGGGGGUAGAGCACUGUUUCGGCUAGGGGGCCAUCCCGGCUUACCAACCCGAUGCAAACUGCGAAUACCGGAGAAUGUUAUCACGGGAGACACACGGCGGGUGCUAACGUCCGUCGUGAAGAGGGAAACAACCCAGACCGCCAGCUAAGGUCCCAAAGUCAUGGUUAAGUGGGAAACGAUGUGGGAAGGCCCAGACAGCCAGGAUGUUGGCUUAGAAGCAGCCAUCAUUUAAAGAAAGCGUAAUAGCUCACUGGUCGAGUCGGCCUGCGCGGAAGAUGUAACGGGGCUAAACCAUGCACCGAAGCUGCGGCAGCGACACUCAGGUGUUGUUGGGUAGGGGAGCGUUCUGUAAGCCUGUGAAGGUGUGUCGUGAGGCAUGCUGGAGGUAUCAGAAGUG
This 1261-nucleotide ribosomal RNA is filed under the name Salmonella enterica subsp. enterica serovar Bareilly str. CFSAN000957. Its description in RNAcentral is "bacterial LSU rRNA". It matches the Rfam family "Bacterial large subunit ribosomal RNA", at positions 1 to 1290 of the family's 2925-position model. The record is from RNAcentral. Lineage: Bacteria; Pseudomonadati; Pseudomonadota; Gammaproteobacteria; Enterobacterales; Enterobacteriaceae.